GAGGCACAGCCCCACACACAGCAUUUCCUCACUCCCUAUUCUCCUGUCCCAGGAAUUGGCAUUUUGGCUCAGCUGUUCCCAAAGGGGACUCCCACAGCACCUCAGUGGAAUGCCCAGCUUAGGGCCUGGAUCUCCUCUCCUGGAAGCAAAAUGUAAAACCUCCCAUUAGGUGACAAACAGCAAAGAGAGGAGAGCCUCAGGCACCUCGUGCUUCUCACCACACAACCUGGAACUGCUAAUGUCUCUGUGGGGGGCUCCUGCUCAACCCUUGAGAAAAUAAAUGGUCAUGAGCACAAGAACUGAAACCCUCUUUGGGGAUACACAUCACAAGAAAACUGAAUGGAAGCAAGAGGUCACAGCAAAUGUCAAACACAAGAGAGCUGUUCAAUUAAGGGCAACCUUACAAAAUCCAAACCGUUACCAACAGCAGCCUGGACGUCAUCCUUGCCCCAGCAAAGCCACCACCCUGACAGAAGCUAUUACACAAGAGUCUGCACUUGAAAACUGCCAAGCUUUAAUCUUCAAUGAAGAGAAAUGAAUGUAUUCUCUUGAGAAACAAUUCUGCCAUAGCAGAGCAGUGGUUUCUUAGGAAUCGAGGGGAAAAAAAAAAAGAAAAAAAAGAAAAAAAAGAAAGAGAAAGAAAGAAAUAAAGACAAGCUAACUUUUUCCA
This 670-nucleotide long non-coding RNA is filed under the name Coturnix japonica (Japanese quail). RNAcentral's name for it is "lncRNA (ENSCJPG00005004008.1)". The record is from RNAcentral. Lineage: Eukaryota; Metazoa; Chordata; Aves; Galliformes; Phasianidae.